Molecule: long non-coding RNA, 2475 nt
Organism: Mobula hypostoma (lesser devil ray)
Lineage: Eukaryota; Metazoa; Chordata; Chondrichthyes; Myliobatiformes; Myliobatidae
Exons: 4
Source: RefSeq, a predicted model, not a curated record
UAUCGUCUGAGGCGUGCCCUCUUCUCAUUGCUGCCAUCAGAGAGGAGGUGCAGGGGCCUGAAGACCAACAGUCAAUAAUCCAGAAACAGCUUCUUCCCCUCCACCAUCAGAUGUCGGAAUGGUACAUGAACCCAUGAACACUGCUUCACAAACUGGACUGUCCAGCACUGAAAAAUGAGGGGUCAUCUUAUAGAGGUGUCUAAAAGCAUGAACAACACUGAAAAACAUCACUGCAUACAGUCUUUUUUCAGAAGGUUGAGGAAUCAAAACGAGAUGGCAUAUAUUCAAGUUGCAUCGAUAUGUUGGGACCAGGUUAGAUCCUCGGAGAUCUUGACACCCAGGAACUUGAUGCUGCUCUCUCUCUCCACUUCUGAUCCCUGUGUGAGGAUUGACUGAAAUCUCUGCUGUUUUACCUCGGAGGUUACUUAUGAUCUUAUUACCACAACUGCGGGUAGCUGGCUGAAAAUCAUGACCCAAGAUUGAGUUAAGUUCCGAUUUAGAAGUCCAGCUAAGGAUGACACCGGGAUUGGAUUUUCAAAACCUUGCACAGAGGCAAAGUCACCGAGGCAGGGCAAACACUCCAAUGAGGUGACUCCCUACGAGCCUGUGGCGCAGGUCUUAAUGACACCAAGACCAUUAAGGAAAGCAGAAGGAGCCUCACCAGCAGUGCACUCUGACAGGCUAAGUCAGGCAUGCCAAGUUGGGCAAGGUACCUUAUGUCUUUCUUUCACCUGACCUGCUGAGGAUUCUCUGCAAUUUCUGAGCUUAUUCCAGAUUUCAACCAUUUGCAGCUAUUUUUCAAUUGAUUUUCACAACCUUGUGUUCUUUCCUCUACUCCCAGUAUACAUCAGAUGAGUCCUAGUAAAGGUAUAUUGAGUGAUGCUGGGGGAAUGAGAGUGGACCACGGGGCUACAUUAAAUUCCUUACCUUCUAGUCCCCUCUACUCAAAUGUUUCUUGGAAUUUUAUACCAAUGAUUACCUGAUUUUAUAUAGCCUACAGGCACUAACAUGAGGCCUGCAUGUUGCACAUACAGCUGCUGAAAAGGGGGAAUAUCAGCGUAGUGUUGCUUAUGGUCACCAUAGUCAUGCUUCUAGUGGAGGUAUGGAGCGGAAAAGGCCCACAACAUCUCAGUAGCACCACUGAAAUCACUGCCAAAGAGAAAUAUUCCAUAUCGAGUGUGAAAGGAAGCUGCAGGAGCAGCUCAGGUGCUGGAUAUGGGAAGAGAUUGACUGCCGGUGUUUAGGGGGCAAAAUGCCGUUGCUUAGUUUGUACAAGCCAAGGCCCAAUUUGCUCUGUGAGAAAUCUCUGCUGCCAACACCAAAUAUUUCUAUGUGGUAGUGUCGCUCAGCAACUCCACAGCUCUGAGAGUGGUGAGUCUACUAGAACAAUCACCUGAACAUGAUAAACACCGAUUGCUGAAAACUCACCUUUUACAGACUUUUGGACUAUCAGAGUCAGAGCACGCCAUACAGUUGCUCUCCUUGCCCAGCCUCGCCGAUGCUAGGCGUGUGUAAAUAAUGGACCACGUGCUGUCUCUGCUGUGAAAUCACCAUCCUUGUUUUAUUUUUGAAAAACUCCUUAUGCAACAAAUGCCUGAUCAAGUUUGCAAAGCCCUCACUAAUGCACCUGUGAAGGACUAUAGGGAGCUUACUAAAAUAGCUGACAGUCUACACUCAGCCAGGCAGAGGUGCAUCAUUCCUCCUCAUGUCCCUGCCUUAAUAAACCUGGUCAACAGGGCCUCCAACACAAGCAUGUGAAACAGUCUACUGCUGUAAAACAGACUAUGCUGGGUCUGUGUUUUACACGCACUCGCUUUGGUAAGUGCCAACCAUCUUGCAGUUUUGACAGUUCCAGCGCAUCUGGACAUCAGAGGUGGACACCGUGGGUUCCAACUGCCAGGGUUGUCUUUUAUUCAUUACAGACAACCUUUCAGGGUGUCACUUCCUGUGAGACAUAGGUGUUCAAGAGAGUGUGCUGCCAGCAUUGCCUAUUGAUAAGAAGGCAAAGAGCAAUGAAACCUCGCUGGAGAUUGCCAACAGCAGCAGGAUUCAGACUUACAGGACACAAUGGGUGACACUCUACUUCAGUGGGUGAUGUUACACAAGGGACUUCGUCUUGGCUAAAGUGGCUAGACCUCUGUUCGGUGCACAUUUCCUGUGUGCCCAAGGACUGUUAAUUGAUUUUCACUGCUGGAUUAUGGAUGUCAAGGAGUUUAGGUCGUUACCCUGCUCCCUGCUCCCUGCGGCCUCGCCUCGCCUCGCCUCGCCUCAAGUCUCCGACCUCCGGCCUCCCCUCGCCUCAAGUCUCUGGUCUCCGGCCUCCGGUUUCGCCUCACCUCAAGUCUCCGGCUUCGCCUCGCCUCGCCUCACCUCAAGUCUCCGGCCUCGCCUCGCCUCAAGUCUCCGACCUCCAGCCUCCCCUCGCCUCAAGUCUCUGGUCUCCGGCCUCCGGUUUCGCCUCACCUCAAGUCUCCG